RNAcentral lists this ribosomal RNA (628 nucleotides) under Streptomyces sp. ANA307. Its description in RNAcentral is "bacterial SSU rRNA". It matches the Rfam family "Bacterial small subunit ribosomal RNA", at positions 56 to 701 of the family's 1533-position model. The record is from RNAcentral. Lineage: Bacteria; Bacillati; Actinomycetota; Actinomycetes; Kitasatosporales; Streptomycetaceae.
UGCAAGUCGAACGGUGAAGCCCUUCGGGGUGGAUCAGUGGCGAACGGGUGAGUAACACGUGGGCAAUCUGCCCUGCACUCUGGGACAAGCCCUGGAAACGGGGUCUAAUACCGGAUAUGACCUUCCUCCGCAUGGGGGUUGGUGGAAAGCUCCGGCGGUGCAGGAUGAGCCCGCGGCCUAUCAGCUUGUUGGUGGGGUAAUGGCCUACCAAGGCGACGACGGGUAGCCGGCCUGAGAGGGCGACCGGCCACACUGGGACUGAGACACGGCCCAGACUCCUACGGGAGGCAGCAGUGGGGAAUAUUGCACAAUGGGCGAAAGCCUGAUGCAGCGACGCCGCGUGAGGGAUGACGGCCUUCGGGUUGUAAACCUCUUUCAGCAGGGAAGAAGCGCAAGUGACGGUACCUGCAGAAGAAGCACCGGCUAACUACGUGCCAGCAGCCGCGGUAAUACGUAGGGUGCGAGCGUUGUCCGGAAUUAUUGGGCGUAAAGAGCUCGUAGGCGGCCUGUCGCGUCGGAUGUGAAAGCCCGGGGCUUAACCCCGGGUCUGCAUUCGAUACGGGCAGGCUAGAGUGUGGUAGGGGAGAUCGGAAUUCCUGGUGUAGCGGUGAAAUGCGCAGAUAUCAGG